This 253-nucleotide ribosomal RNA is filed under the name uncultured bacterium. Its description in RNAcentral is "partial 16S ribosomal RNA". It matches the Rfam family "Bacterial small subunit ribosomal RNA", at positions 524 to 776 of the family's 1533-position model. The record is from RNAcentral.
UACGUAGGGUGCGAGCGUUAAUCGGAAUUACUGGGCGUAAAGCGUGCGCAGGCGGUUUUGUAAGACAGAUGUGAAAGCCCCGGGCUUAACCUGGGAAUGGCAUUUGGGACUGCAAGGCUUGAGUGCGGCAGAGGAGACUGGAAUUCCUGGUGUAGCAGUGAAAUGCGUAGAUAUCAGGAGGAAUACCGAUGGCGAAGGCAGGUCUCUGGGCUGACACUGACGCUCAUGCACGAAAGCGUGGGGAGCAAACAGG